RNAcentral lists this ribosomal RNA (301 nucleotides) under uncultured bacterium. RNAcentral describes it as "partial 16S ribosomal RNA". It matches the Rfam family "Bacterial small subunit ribosomal RNA", at positions 509 to 809 of the family's 1533-position model. The record is from RNAcentral.
CAGCCGCCGCGGUAAAACGGAGGGUGCAAGCGUUAAUCGGAAUUACUGGGCGUAAAGCGCACGCAGGCGGUCUGUCAAGUCAGAUGUGAAAUCCCCGGGCUUAACCUGGGAACUGCAUUUGAAACUGGCAGGCUAGAGUCUUGUAGAGGGGGGUAGAAUUCCAGGUGUAGCGGUGAAAUGCGUAGAGAUCUGGAGGAAUACCGGUGGCGAAGGCGGCCCCCUGGACAAAGACUGACGCUCAGGUGCGAAAGCGUGGGGAGCAAACAGGAUUAGAUACCCGCGUAGUCCCUGUCUCUUAUAA